GGGCCAGAGCUCGUCGGGGGCUGGACGGACGAAUCCUGCAGAAAAAUUGGAGGAAUCCUGCAGAAAAAUCCUUGAGAGGUGUCCCCGGGGGGGCUCUGAGCCCCCCUCCACGCUUCGGGCUCCUCGUGCCUUCAUGCCCUGCGCUUUGGGUGCAAGGAAUAAAGGAGAACGGAAGGCAGCCGGGUGGAAAACACCAGUUUUUGAGUGCAAACUUGGUAAAAACGGGAAGGAUUCCACCCAAACGGGAGGUGAGUGGACAGCACGGGCCCCUCCAGCCUGGAUUUUCGCCCGUUUCGGAGCCGUUUGGAGAACCGCUGCCGCCCGUGGCACAGGGGAAGGUUUCGGCGCCCAAAAAACCCAAAAAGGAGCCAGGAGACGAAUUCCACAGCUCCAAACCUGCAUCAGGGCUGGGAUUCGGCACCCCCGGAGCUCAUCUCAGCCCCGUGAGCCUCAGCGGCACUGCACGAAAACCCCAAAAACCCCAAAAACGCCGUCAGUGGCCGUGGCAAACGCCGUCACCGAGCCCUGGGAGCGUCAGCACGGUGACAAUGUCACCCCGCGGGGACAAUGGGGCCGUUGUGCCGGCCUCAAUGGGGCUUUAUACGGCCCCGGGGGGGCCAAAAACGCAGCCCCCAUGUCCCGGGGCGCUGAGGAAGGGGAAGAUCCGGCUCUGCUGUUGACUCUUCGCCCCGUGCCUGCCGCCGCUCGCCCCGCUGACGUCCGCGGGGUUUGUCCACAAACACGCCUCGGUCGGUGGGGUUGGGGCUGGAAGCGGGAGCCUGGCCCCGAUUUUACACCUCCAAACACCUGGUGUCUGCGGGGAGGGGCUGGGAUUCGCGGUUACGUCUACAGAGAUGAGUUUGGCAUCACUUUUAUGUCUACAAACACACGUUAUGUCUACAGGAAUGAGCUUAUUUUCAUGAUUACGUCUACAGGAAUGAGUUUGUCUUUGAAUUACAUCUACAAACACGACUUUGGCUUCAGUUUUACGUCCACAAACACAAGUUUGACCUCAAUUUUAUGUCCACGAACAUGCAUUACGUCUACAGGAAUGAGUUUGACUUCACUUUUACGUCUACACACACCCGUUACAUCUACACACACCCGUUUAACUUCAGUUUUACGUCUACGAACACACAUUACGUCUACAGAAAUGGGUUUGUCUGUUAAUUAUGACUACGAACACCUGCUGGACUUCACUUUUACGCCUACAAACACCCAUUACAUCCACAGAAACGGGUUUGUCUUCACGAUUCCGUCUACAAAGACGAGUUUGACUCCAGUUUUACGUCUACACCCACCCGUUUGACUCCACUUUUAGGUCUCCAGCCACGUCGCGUCCACAGCAACGAGUUUGUCUUCACUCUUAGAUCUACAACCACACGUUAUAUCUACAGAAAUGAGUUUGUCCCCGUGCCCACGUCUCCCAGCACUGCCUUUGACCCCACUCUGCCCACGCGGGCAUCGUCCCCACGAGGAUUUCCUUCCCCCCACACCCCCGGGUCGCCCAAAGGCUGCUCCACCCCUGGGGGAGCCGACGUUUUUGGGGUUUUGGCCAGCUCUGGAGGACGCUUCGUGCUCUGCCCCUCGUUCCGACGCUUCCCCAGCCCCAUUUUUGUUUAUUUUUGGGCUUUUUUGGGUUGAUUUCGCCGGGAGGAAGUGGCGGCCGUGCGGCAUCAGAGCGAAACCGCGGCACCGAAAUAGAGCCGGGGGGGGGGCAGCCCCCCCCCU
Molecule: long non-coding RNA, 1731 nt
Filed under: Anas platyrhynchos platyrhynchos (common mallard)
Lineage: Eukaryota; Metazoa; Chordata; Aves; Anseriformes; Anatidae
Description: lncRNA (ENSAPLG00000018376.1)
Source: RNAcentral